RNAcentral lists this ribosomal RNA (1399 nucleotides) under uncultured bacterium. Its description in RNAcentral is "16S ribosomal RNA". It matches the Rfam family "Bacterial small subunit ribosomal RNA". The record is from RNAcentral.
AGAGUUUGAUCCUGGCUCAGGAUGAACGCUAGCGACAGGCUUAACACAUGCAAGUCGAGGGGCAGCAGGGGAGUAGCAAUACUCCCGCUGGCGACCGGCGCACGGGUGAGUAACACGUAUGCAACCUGCCCUUGUCAGGGGGAUAAGCGGGAGAAAUUCCGUCUAAUACCGCAUAAUACCUUAUGGGGACAUCCUCAUGAGGUCAAAGAUUUAUCGGACAAGGAUGGGCAUGCGUCGCAUUAGUUAGUUGGCGGUGUAACGGACCACCAAGACGACGAUGCGUAGGGGUUCUGAGAGGAAGGUCCCCCACACUGGUACUGAGACACGGACCAGACUCCUACGGGAGGCAGCAGUGAGGAAUAUUGGUCAAUGGGCGGGAGCCUGAACCAGCCAAGUCGCGUGAGGGAAGACGGUCCUAAGGAUUGUAAACCUCUUUUGUCAGGGAGCAAGGACUGCCACGAGUGGCAGGGCGAGAGUACCUGAAGAAAAAGCAUCGGCUAACUCCGUGCCAGCAGCCGCGGUAAUACGGAGGAUGCGAGCGUUAUCCGGAUUUAUUGGGUUUAAAGGGUGCGCAGGCGGACCGGAAAGUCAGCGGUAAAAUCGAGGAGCUCAACUCCUUCCAGCCGUUGAAACUGUCGGUCUAGAGUGGGCGAGAAGUAUGCGGAAUGCGUGGUGUACCGGUGAAAUGCAUAGAUAUCACGCAGAAUUCGGAUGGCGAAGGCAGCAUACCGGCGCCCAACUGACGCUCAGGCACGAAAGCGUGGGUAUCGAACAGGAUUAGAUACCCUGGUAGUCCACGCAGUAAACGAUGAAUACUAAUUGUUCGGCGCGAAUGAGCGCUGAGUGAUACAGCGAAAGCGUUAAGUAUUCCACCUGGGGAGUACGCCGGCAACGGUGAAACUCAAAGGAAUUGACGGGGGCCCGCACAAGCGGAGGAACAUGUGGUUUAAUUCGAUGAUACGCGAGGAACCUUACCCGGGCUCAAACGACAGACGGAUACUUUUGAAAGGAGGUAGCUCCUCGGAGCGUCUGUCGAGGUGCUGCAUGGUUGUCGUCAGCUCGUGCCGUGAGGUGUCGGCUUAAGUGCCAUAACGAGCGCAACCCCCAUCUACAGUUGCCAUCGAGUGAAGUCGGGCACUCUGUAGAGACUGCCGGCGCAAGCUGUGAGGAAGGCGGGGAUGACGUCAAAUCAGCACGGCCCUUACGUCCGGGGCGACACACGUGUUACAAUGGCAGGUACAGCGGGAAGCCACCUGGCGACAGGGAGCGGAACCCGAAAACCUGUCUCAGUUCGGAUUGGAGUCUGCAACUCGACUCCAUGAAGCUGGAUUCGCUAGUAAUCGCGCAUCAGCCAUGGCGCGGUGAAUACGUUCCCGGGCCUUGCACACACAGGCCGUCA